RNAcentral lists this long non-coding RNA (445 nucleotides) under Numida meleagris (helmeted guineafowl). RNAcentral's name for it is "lncRNA (ENSNMEG00000015690.1)". The record is from RNAcentral. Lineage: Eukaryota; Metazoa; Chordata; Aves; Galliformes; Numididae.
AUGGUGCUACUUAAAAGGAGUACUGGGGACAAUGUGCUGCUGUUUGCAAUGCAGAGGUGUGUUUUUCUGAGCUUCUGGAACAUGACAGUCUACACCUGCUCUCCUGCAUCUUCUCAUUCGUGGAGAAUGAUUUUGGAACCAUCUCUUUGCUUCAAAAGAUGGCUUCCUGAGAAUGAGGUACUCCAAAGCAGGAACAGGAACUGUACAGUGGUGUAUGGUACUGCACCGGUGACCACACCAAACAAUUCAGAUGGCGUGAGGUGCCCCCAGACACCACUUCCUGAGGAGCUUCCCAACUUUUUAGGGAAUAUUUGAAGAAAAGAACUGAGGCUGUGCUCAUGACCAUUGAGGUAGAACUGAAUUUUUCCAGCAUAGAAAAGGAGCAGCUACAGAUCUUACUGCAGGGACUAAUAAAACUUUUGUCUUUUUCCUUCUUCUUCCCUGG